Molecule: long non-coding RNA, 1111 nt
Organism: Sarcophilus harrisii (Tasmanian devil)
Lineage: Eukaryota; Metazoa; Chordata; Mammalia; Dasyuromorphia; Dasyuridae
Exons: 3
Source: RefSeq, a predicted model, not a curated record
CAAGGUUCUGUUUCUAUUUGAGUUUGACAAUACUGGACUAGAGUAUAGAUGUAUAGCUUCCCCUGCUAAGUGCAUCCUUCAUUAUUCCCAGGGACAGGCUUGUUGAUGAUGGACAGUGGUCCUUAAGGGAUAAUUUUACCCUGUGGAAUAGGGCUGUAAGAAGCCAAGAUUUAUUAACUUUCCUACUUGGGGGAAGGGAAGAAAAGUUGGGAGAGGAAUUUGAAUAUGCAAGCCUUCAUGUGCAGGUGGUCUGCAGUGGGGGGAAGGGGAAAGGAUGGGGGAGAUCUCAGAAGAGGAAAGGCAGGUCAAGCAUGGAACAUCCUUCUCCAUUCUUCUCCCUCCAGGAGCCCAGGACGCAUCCUAGAUCCUGGGGGAUUCUGGGCUUUUUCAAAGAGAAGCAAGAUGGAUGGCUUUUGUGCAUGUUCCUAGGUCCUGAGACAGGAGGGAGGAGACUGCUCUGGGGAUGAGCAAAGAGGCAGAGGAAUAGCUCUCUAGGGAUCUGUCAUUCUAAUGAAUGUGUAGAGCCUCCAAGACUGGGAAGUGAAGUUGCCUCUUCUUCAUUCCUACAACAGUUCCUGAUCACAAGUCACAAACUCUCAUUACUCCACAUCACUGGAGCCAUCUGGGUUUGGAGGACCUGGGGCAGAACCAGACAGAAAAAUUCCCUCCUCUCCAGCCUAUGUUACAACAGCUGGGCUGAGAAGAGACAUUGCAAAUAAGUCAUAAUAAAUAAUCAGCACUAAGUCAUCUAACACCUUUCUUUUUCAGGAUUCUGGGGACUUUUUGCCCAUAUCUCCUCAGGAUGACAAUACCCCUCUGAGUUAGAGAGGUUCUGGGAACAUUCUCCCCAACUUAUGAAAAGAAACAAGAUCCACGUUCCCAUGGUGAUUGGCUAACCAGAAAGUAGUUUUGUAACUCUUUGGGCCAAGGAAAGCUAGAAGGAAUAUCAAUGCCUUCCUGAUGACUUAUUGAGGACCACCACCUUCUCCCCUUCUCUCCUUGAGGGCAGAAUGCCCGACACAAAGAAGCGGCAAUAAACACUUGUUGAGCUGCAUUAGCUGGUGUCUGGAGCCCCGCGGGAAGAAUAAGGAAGCAAUGGGAAGUUGUCCCU